This 385-nucleotide long non-coding RNA is filed under the name Fukomys damarensis (Damara mole-rat). RNAcentral's name for it is "lncRNA (ENSFDAG00000032064.1)". Lineage: Eukaryota; Metazoa; Chordata; Mammalia; Rodentia; Bathyergidae. The record is from RNAcentral.
CCUAUUCAGUUUGGCUCUUGGUACACGAUGGAUGACAAUGCCUUCCCUGUUUGUAUUGUCAGAUCAUUUUUAAAGUAAAAUAUUAAAAGCUCCUAACAACUUGGACACAUUAUACAGAUGCCAUAAACCCAGUGACAACCAGUAGAAAUGGUCCUAAAGCAUGGACUGAAGGCCAUCAGCACAAGCAGCCUGUGACAGCCAACUGGGUACAUGGUGACAUUGACUUGUUGCUUAUAAUGCAGCUGAGAUGGAAGGAUGACUCAGCUCGUUGACUUACUAGAAGCUGUAUGUGAAGGGACCAGGCAAUAAGAAGAUCAUUCUUCAGAGUUUAUUUUCUCCAUCCAGAGAAACUUCUAAGACUCUACAUUUAAAUAAAGACUGAAGG